CGCAGCACGGAACGCACGUUCUGCUCGCGGUGACUUCCACUUAACAUAAACUUGCUAAUUGGUGUACAUUGUAAUCAACAAGUGAUAUCGAACAAGUUAAUAAGAUAUUGUAAUCCAAACUUACCGAUAGGAAAGCUUGUUUUCGUUGCAAGGACAGUGAUAUGAAAGUUUAGUUUGCGGGCUUAUAGUGAUAUUUUUGGUAAAUUUUGUUCAACUACGGGAUUUCUGCGUGCGAAAGAAUAAUAAGAUUUCGUACAGCUGAAGGUGAAUUCUUAAACGUUACUGGUUACUCCGCCGUUUUGGUUGACUGAACUUCAACAAGCCACUUGCCGUUUUAAAGAAACCCAAAGAUGACAUAAGAGCCCAUCCAAAAUGGCGUUGCGACUAAAGAAAGACAUAAAGAAAGCGUCAUACUAUGUGUGGUUCCUGGGUGCGCAGGAGUCACGAGGGUUGCGCGGCGAGGAGUUCGCCCUCCCAGCCAUAAGGCUGCUGGAAGAGAGGGCCCGGGACUUGGAGCCGUUCAAAGUCACCUU
Molecule: long non-coding RNA, 533 nt
Organism: Ostrinia nubilalis (European corn borer)
Lineage: Eukaryota; Metazoa; Arthropoda; Insecta; Lepidoptera; Crambidae
Exons: 5
Source: RefSeq, a predicted model, not a curated record